UACGGAGGGUGCGAGCGUUGUUCGGAAUCACUGGGCGUAAAGCGUGCGUAGGCGGUUUUGUAAGUCAGAAGUGAAAGACUAGGGCUUAACCCUAGAACUGCUUUUGAAACUACAUCACUAGAGUCCCGGAGGGGUAGAGUGAAUUCCGAGUGUAGAGGUGAAAUUCGCAGAUAUUCGGAAGAACACCAGUGGCGAAGGCGAUCUACUGGACGGGAACUGACGCUGAGGCACGAAAGCGUGGGGAGCAAACAGG
RNAcentral lists this ribosomal RNA (253 nucleotides) under uncultured bacterium. Its description in RNAcentral is "partial 16S ribosomal RNA". It matches the Rfam family "Bacterial small subunit ribosomal RNA", at positions 524 to 776 of the family's 1533-position model. The record is from RNAcentral.